RNAcentral lists this ribosomal RNA (253 nucleotides) under uncultured bacterium. Its description in RNAcentral is "partial 16S ribosomal RNA". It matches the Rfam family "Bacterial small subunit ribosomal RNA", at positions 524 to 776 of the family's 1533-position model. The record is from RNAcentral.
UACAGAGGGUGCGAGCGUUGUCCGGAAUCACUGGGCGUAAAGGGCGCGUAGGUGGCGCUCCAAGUCCGUGGUGAAAGCUCGAUGCUUAACAUCGAGUCGGCCACGGAAACUGGAGGGCUGGAGCAUUGUAGGGGCAGAUGGAAUUCCGGGUGUAGCGGUGGAAUGCGUAGAGAUGUGGAGGAACACCGAUGGCGAAGGCAGCCUUCUGGGCCAAUACUGACGCUCAUGCACGAAAGCGUGGGGAGCAAACAGG